Monodelphis domestica (gray short-tailed opossum) is the source of this 579-nucleotide long non-coding RNA. RefSeq lists it as uncharacterized. The record is from RefSeq and is a predicted model, not a curated record. Lineage: Eukaryota; Metazoa; Chordata; Mammalia; Didelphimorphia; Didelphidae.
AUUAAAGUGCCUAGCAAAGUACUAGUUGCACAAUAUGUGAUCAAUAAAUACGUGACAAAUGAAUGGCUUGGUGACUUUAACUGAAUAACUGAAUGAUUGCAGAGUACAAGCAGCAUCACCAAACAAAGUUUUAGCCAGAAACAUAUGACUUGGCUUCAGGUUCAGAGAACAGAAAAAGAAGCAGAUGAUAUGGUAGACAGACCUUCUGCAGCUCCCCUAUUGGUUGCAUGGCAUAGGAAAGAAAAGGCACCAACUCUCUUGGCUUUUGCUUCAAAAACUCCAAGGAUCAGAAGGAAACCCAGAAGCUCUCCAGUUUAACACGUACUUGAAUAAGAGCUCCAUCUACUAAAUACCUGGCAAGUAUUUUCUGAUUCUUUACUUAAUAAAUUAAAUAAAAGGGUGGGACAAGGAGAACAUGCUAAGGGAGUCCACUCCAAUUUUGGACACCUCUAAUUGCUCGGGAAGUUUUUUCUUUAGCUGGAAUCUAUUUCUCUCUAUAACAGCUAUCCAUUAUUCCUAGUUCUGACACCUGGGAACAGAGACCAAAUUGAAAACUUCCAUAUUACAGCCAAUCAAUAC